Molecule: microRNA, 24 nt
Filed under: Sarcophilus harrisii (Tasmanian devil)
Lineage: Eukaryota; Metazoa; Chordata; Mammalia; Dasyuromorphia; Dasyuridae
Description: Sha-Mir-12475-P11_5p (mature (guide))
Source: RNAcentral
UAAGCACUCUGGAGUCACAUGGUU